This is a small nuclear RNA of Python bivittatus (Burmese python), 199 nucleotides long. RefSeq annotates it as U2 spliceosomal RNA. The record is from RefSeq and is a predicted model, not a curated record. Lineage: Eukaryota; Metazoa; Chordata; Lepidosauria; Squamata; Pythonidae.
AUCGCUUCUCAGCCUUUUGGCUAAGAUCAAGUGUAGUAUCUGUUCUUAUCAGUUUAAUAUCUGAUAUGUCCUGUAUUUGAGGACUAUAUAUUAAAUGGAUUUUUGGAGCCAAUUGUGAUCACUAGGACUACCUGUAUAGAUUUAUGCUCAACUUAGGAUGAAGGCAAACUUUUAGUGCCUUUUUGUUUCUAAAUCAUCU